AUAUGGAUAAAACAAGCACUCGUGAAUUUUUCAAAAGACCUCAAGUUAUAGCACUCGUACAUGUUUUAUCCAAGUUCACUCGAAGUCAUCCUGUUAUCUAUAUGCUAAUUAUUUUUUAGUUUCAUGCAUAUUAUAUUAUAUUUCUUUACUAUUAGGAGCCCGGCCAUUCGCAAGAAAGCUGGUCUUUCUCGUCAGUGACAGAUGGACUGAUGGACGAAUGACUUCCGACUUUGAUGCUCUUUGAAAAACUCACUCGUACAUGUUUUAUCCAAGUUCACUCGAAGCCAUCCUGUUAUCUAUAUGCUAAUUAUUUUUUUAGUUUCUUGCAUUAUAUUAUAUUUCUUUAAAUUAGGAGCCCGGCCAUUCGCAAGAAAGCUGGUCUUUCUCGUGACAGAUGGACGGUCGAAUGAUUAUAUAGCAGAAAACACUAGCCAUGCAUGCAGUGCGAAAAAGCUAAAGCGGAAUAUUCCGGGUGUGAAAACUUUUGUUGUUGCCGUUGGCAAGUACAUUAACGGAAUAGAUGAAAUGUCAAACGUAACUUCCUAUAUCUACCAGAUAAACACGUUUUCCGAGUUGGGAAAAAACAGCGACCUACAAUACGUUUUCGAAUUGGCUUUGCAGACAAUGACGAAUCCUACGGCUUCGCCGACCCUGAUAAAACCUCCAAAGUCUUUAUGUAACUGAGAAACAUACUGCAACCUGGAAUUCAUGAUGGGCUGAUCAUAGUUAGAGUUUCAGUACACGUUAGACAGUAUAGUACCCUGGAUUCCAGAGCCUUCGACAGUAAAUAAUAAAUUGAAAUGUCGCGAAGGCUCUGGUUCAACGGGGAGAUUCUUUGAUUAAACCGCGCCAAUCACAAAACAGAAUUCGUGGUUUUAGUACAGAUUCUGUACUAAAACCACUAAUUCUGUUUUGUGAUUGGCGCGGUUUAAUCAAAGAAUCGCCCCGUUGAACCAGAGCCUUCGUGACAUUUCAAUUUAUUAUUUACUGUCGAAGGCUCUGGAAUCCAGGGUAACAGUAUAGAUCAUCUCUGAUAAUAAAUAAACUUGUAAUGAACAAAUAAUAAACAACAAUCAAUAAAAUCUUGGCUCUCUUCACUUAGGGGCGGACCAUUAGAAAAUGG
This is a non-coding RNA of Paramuricea clavata, 1123 nucleotides long. NCBI's taxonomy places the organism in Eukaryota, Metazoa, Cnidaria, Anthozoa, Malacalcyonacea, Plexauridae. The record is from the annotation of a GenBank genome assembly.